GGGGUUUUCAAUAUUAUAUCACUUCUCACAUGACUAAAACUCUCGUUCAAGCCUAUUAGAAACUGUAACAGGCGUUGAUUUCUCAACAAUUCGAUCGAAGGUCUAGAUGCCUCACAACUACAGCCAGCAGUGGGUACUAAUGCAUCUAUCUCAUCCCAGUAAUCCUUCAUUCUAGAAAAAUAGACUGUAACUGAAUUUGUACCUUGAGUUAAUGAUGCAAUGUCCUUCCAUAGUUGAUAGAUUCUGGUGAGAUUGGAUUUGUC
RNAcentral lists this long non-coding RNA (263 nucleotides) under Solanum tuberosum (potato). RNAcentral describes it as "long non-coding RNA (STUB_LNC005647)". Lineage: Eukaryota; Viridiplantae; Streptophyta; Magnoliopsida; Solanales; Solanaceae. The record is from RNAcentral.